GGCAUGGCACAGUGUUUUGGGUGCUGGACUACAACUCUGGAGACCAGUGUUCAAUUCCCAGCUCAGCCA
Molecule: transfer RNA, 69 nt
Filed under: Phrynosoma platyrhinos (Desert horned lizard)
Lineage: Eukaryota; Metazoa; Chordata; Lepidosauria; Squamata; Phrynosomatidae
Description: tRNA-OTHER
Source: RNAcentral